Molecule: ribosomal RNA, 497 nt
Filed under: uncultured bacterium
Lineage: Bacteria
Description: partial 16S ribosomal RNA
Rfam family: Bacterial small subunit ribosomal RNA
Source: RNAcentral
GAUGAACGCUGGCGGCGUGCCUAAUACAUGCAAGUCGAGCGAACAGACGAGGAGCUUGCUCCUCUGACGUUAGCGGCGGACGGGUGAGUAACACGUGGAUAACCUACCUAUAAGACUGGGAUAACUUCGGGAAACCGGAGCUAAUACCGGAUAAUAUAUUGAACCGCAUGGUUCAAUAGUGGAAGACGGUUUUGCUGUCACUUAUAGAUGGAUCCGCGCCGCAUUAGCUAAUUGGUAAGGUAACGGCUUACCAAGGCAACGAUGCGUAGCCGACCUGAGAGGGUGAUCGGCCACACUGGAACUGAGACACGGUCCAGACUCCUACGGGAGGAAGCAGUAGGGAAUCUUCCGCAAUGGGCGAAAGCCUGACGGAGCAACGCCGCGUGAGUGAUGAAGGUCUUCGGAUCGUAAAACUCUGUUAUUAGGGAAGAACAAAUGUGUAAGUAACUAUGCACGUCUUGACGGUACCUAAUCAGAAAGCCACGGCUAACUACGUG